GGUGUGACCUUGCUAGAGGAAGUGUGUCACUGGGGGUGGGCUUUGAGAGUUCUUAAACCAUGCCAGAUUUCCUGUCACUCUCUCUUCUGGUGCCUGC
This 97-nucleotide microRNA precursor is filed under the name Nannospalax galili (Upper Galilee mountains blind mole rat). RNAcentral describes it as "miRNA (ENSNGAG00000003564.1)". The record is from RNAcentral. Lineage: Eukaryota; Metazoa; Chordata; Mammalia; Rodentia; Spalacidae.